RNAcentral lists this ribosomal RNA (497 nucleotides) under uncultured bacterium. RNAcentral's name for it is "partial 16S ribosomal RNA". It matches the Rfam family "Bacterial small subunit ribosomal RNA", at positions 35 to 507 of the family's 1533-position model. The record is from RNAcentral.
GGGGGGGGGUGGGGGGGGGGCUGGGGGGUGCAGGGCGAGCGGGGAGGGGAGGGGCUUGCUCCUCGGACGUUAGCGGCGGAAGGGUGAGUAACAGGUGGGUAACCUCCCUAUAAGACUGGGAUAACUUCGGGACCCCGGAGCUCAUCCCGGAUAAUAUAUUGCACCGCAGGGUUCAAUAGUGAAAGACGGUUUUGCUGUCACUUAUAGAUGGCUCCGCGCCUCACUGUCUAGUUGGUAAGGUAACGGCUUACCAAGGCGACUAUGCGUAGCCGACAUGAGAGGGUGAUCGGACACACUGGAACUGAGACACGGUCCAGACUCCUACGGGAGGCAGCAGUAGGGAAUCUUCCGCAAUGGGCGGAAGCCUGACGGAGCAACGCCGCGUGAGUGAUGAAGGUCUUCGGAUCGUAAAACUCUGUUAUUAGGGAAGAACAAAUGUGUAAGUAACUAUGCACGUCUUGACGGUACCUAAUCAGAAAGCCACGGCUAACUACGUG